UCCGGCCUGUAGUACAGACCUAUGUAACAACUUGUUUUUGAAAACUUCGCUACACAGCUUCGCUUGUAAGUCAUGUCCUGAAGAUUCACGCACGUUUGGCCACAUAAGUAACAGUCAGGCUAAAAGCGCAUUUUGCGUUAUUACAUUUAUCAAAAUUUUUAGGAGUCUCUCAUGGCUAAAGUAACUGGUGUAGUUAAGUGGUUCAACGCUGACAAAGGUUUCGGUUUUAUCACUCAAGACAACGGCGGCGCUGACGCUUUCGUUCACUUCCGUGCUAUCCAAACUGAUGGUUACAAAACCCUGAACGAAGGCCAAAAAGUGGCUUUCGAAAUCGAACAAGGCCAAAAAGGCCCACAAGCUGCUAACGUAACUGUUAUCGGCUAAUUCGAUACCGAAUUGCAAGAAGCCAGCCUAGUGCUGGCUUUUUUUA
Molecule: small RNA, 430 nt
Filed under: Alishewanella agri BL06
Lineage: Bacteria; Pseudomonadati; Pseudomonadota; Gammaproteobacteria; Alteromonadales; Alteromonadaceae
Description: cspA thermoregulator
Rfam family: cspA thermoregulator
Source: Rfam by way of RNAcentral